RNAcentral lists this small RNA (148 nucleotides) under Pongo abelii (Sumatran orangutan). Its description in RNAcentral is "Metazoan signal recognition particle RNA (ENSPPYG00000033164.1)". The record is from Rfam by way of RNAcentral. Lineage: Eukaryota; Metazoa; Chordata; Mammalia; Primates; Hominidae.
GCUGGGUGUGGUGGUACACACCUGUAAUCCCAGCUACUCAGGAGGCUGAGGCAGGAGAAUCGCUUGAACCCAGGAGGCGGAGGUUGCAGUGAGCCAAGAUUGUGCCACUGCACUCUAGCCUGGGUGACAGAGUGAGACUCUGUCUCAG